RNAcentral lists this transfer RNA (85 nucleotides) under Azoarcus sp. RNAcentral's name for it is "tRNA-Ser". It matches the Rfam family "tRNA". From Rfam's summary of the family: Transfer RNA (tRNA) molecules are approximately 80 nucleotides in length. Their secondary structure includes four short double-helical elements and three loops (D, anti-codon, and T loops). Further hydrogen bonds mediate the characteristic L-shaped molecular structure. tRNAs have two regions of fundamental functional importance: the anti-codon, which is responsible for specific mRNA codon recognition, and the 3' end, to which the tRNAs corresponding amino acid is attached (by aminoacyl-tRNA synthetases). tRNAs cope with the degeneracy of the genetic code in two manners: having more than one tRNA (with a specific anti-codon) for a particular amino acid; and 'wobble' base-pairing, i.e. permitting non-standard base-pairing at the 3rd anti-codon position. Lineage: Bacteria; Pseudomonadati; Pseudomonadota; Betaproteobacteria; Rhodocyclales; Zoogloeaceae. The record is from RNAcentral.
GGUGGGUUGGCAGAGAGGUCGAUUGCACUGGUCUUGAAAACCAGCAACGGGUAACCGUUCCAGGGUUCGAAUCCCUGACCCACCG